This 536-nucleotide long non-coding RNA is filed under the name Panax ginseng (ginseng). Its description in RNAcentral is "long non-coding RNA (PGIN_LNC000349)". Lineage: Eukaryota; Viridiplantae; Streptophyta; Magnoliopsida; Apiales; Araliaceae. The record is from RNAcentral.
GCAGGACGGUUUAUUGACCUGGACAACAAAAAAUGAAGAUUUAGUAUGUUUUCAGAAUCAACAAAAUUCAUAUAGCAAAACACAAAGUUCUAAAACAUCAUAAAUUAUGUGUUCGCAAUUAGGAUCUAUGCAUUCUACAUGCAUUACAUGAUUUUUGGUUUCUGAUUCUCAGUUUGCCCUCUGUUUGGUGUCAUAAAGUAGCUACUUGACUCCAAAGACUUUCCACCAAUCCCAGCAGAGGGCCUGCAAAAAUUCAGAAUAAUACUUAUAAAGAAUUCUCUAAAACUAUAUAAUAGAGUAUUGACAUUUUUCGCAUGACACUAACCUUUUCCCUACCACAUUAUUAACACCAUUAGCAACGUUUAUAUGCCUUGAAGUACUCUGCACAUACAUAAAGCAUGAGGAAAUGUUAAUAUUGGUCACACACCUGAUAGUGUAUCUAAAUAGAUAUGGAAUCCUCAAUUUUACCUUGCUCAUGAGACCUAAUUUCGAAUUUGCUUUUGCCAGACUAUCUUUGGUACUUGAAGAAGUUGCUG